CAAAAACAUGUCCUUUUGUUUAUUUAUUUAAGGUCUGACCUGCCCAAUGAUUUAUUUAAUGGCCGCGGUAUUUUAACCGUGCUAAGGUAGCAUAAUCAUUUGUCUUUUAAUUAAAGGCUUGUAUGAAUGGUUGGACGAGAUACUUACUUUCUUUAGAUUAAUUAUUAGAAUUUAAUUUUUUAGUUAAAAAGCUUAAAUGUUUUAGUGGGACGAGAAGACCCUAUAGAUCUUGAAUAUAGUUUUGUUUUGAAGUGUUUAGGUUUAUAUUGAUCAGAAUGAGUUUUAUAUUUUGGUUGGGGCGAUUGUGGAAUUUUUUUAACUUCCAUUGAGUUUGUUCAUUGAUUAGUGAUUUGUUGAUCCAAUAAUAUUGAUUUUAAGAUUAAGGUACCUUAGGGAUAACAGCGUAAUUUUUCUGGAUAGUCCGUAUUGAUGGAGAAGUUUGCGACCUCGAUGUUGGAUUAAAGUAAGUGGUAGGCGUAGCAGUUUACUAACUAGGUCUGUUCGACCUAUAAUUCUUUACAUGAUCUGAGUUCA
This 534-nucleotide ribosomal RNA is filed under the name Acanthaspis sp. 00052205. Its description in RNAcentral is "partial 16S ribosomal RNA". It matches the Rfam family "Bacterial large subunit ribosomal RNA", at positions 1808 to 2613 of the family's 2925-position model. Lineage: Eukaryota; Metazoa; Arthropoda; Insecta; Hemiptera; Reduviidae. The record is from RNAcentral.